This 27-nucleotide non-coding RNA is filed under the name Rattus norvegicus (Norway rat). The record is from RNAcentral. Lineage: Eukaryota; Metazoa; Chordata; Mammalia; Rodentia; Muridae.
UUGGUAUAUUUUUACUUACUGGAUUGC